UACGUAGGGACCGAGCGUUGUCCGGAAUCAUUGGGCGUAAAGAGCGUGUAGGCGGCUAUUUAAGUCCUGCGUGAAAUCCUGCGGCUCAACCGCAGACGGGCGUGGGAAACUGGCAGACUAGAGUACGUAAGAGGGGGGUGGAAUUCCACGUGUAGCAGUGAAAUGCGUAGAGAUGUGGAGGAACACCGAUGGCGAAGGCAACCCCCUGGGACGAUACUGACGCUGAGGCACGAAAGCGUGGGGAGCAAACAGG
RNAcentral lists this ribosomal RNA (253 nucleotides) under uncultured bacterium. RNAcentral's name for it is "partial 16S ribosomal RNA". It matches the Rfam family "Bacterial small subunit ribosomal RNA", at positions 524 to 776 of the family's 1533-position model. The record is from RNAcentral.